GCUAGUAUUAAAUUUUGAAUGACUUAUAUAAGGGACAAGAUUUUGUAUGAAUUUAUCUAUUGAUGCUAAGGAUUGUGAUGAAAGAGAUUUACAAAAAAUAAACAAGUUGAUUCUACUUACAAAGAUGUUGACUUAAGUUCUUCUAGUUUGUUCGAGUUGGAGCUAAUUCUUCUAAAAAAAAGAAGAUUGAUUUGAAAAUUA
RNAcentral lists this long non-coding RNA (201 nucleotides) under Elaeis guineensis (African oil palm). RNAcentral's name for it is "long non-coding RNA (EGUI_LNC067273)". Lineage: Eukaryota; Viridiplantae; Streptophyta; Magnoliopsida; Arecales; Arecaceae. The record is from RNAcentral.